Molecule: ribosomal RNA, 254 nt
Filed under: uncultured bacterium
Lineage: Bacteria
Description: partial 16S ribosomal RNA
Rfam family: Bacterial small subunit ribosomal RNA
Source: RNAcentral
UACGUAGGGUGCAAGCGUUGUCCGGAAUUAUUGGGCGUAAAGAGCUCGUAGGCGGUUUGUUGCGUCGGCUGUGAAAUCCCGAGGCUCAACCUCGGGUCUGCAGUCGAUACGAGCAAACUAGAGUGUUGCAGGGGAGACUGGAAUUCCUGGUGUAGCGGUGAAAUGCGCAGAUAUCAGGAGGAACACCGGUGGCGAAGGCGGGGUCUCUGGGCAACAACUGACGCUGAGGAGCGAAAGCGUGGGGAGCGAACAGG